AUGAGGAAAAGAAGAUUCUGCCUUCCUAGGGAGGGGAGAUCCAUCCUUUUGAGGCAACACCAAUGGUUACAGAGUGGGAAAAGCCUUCUGAAGGAAGUAUCGAGAAAAAAUUUUAAAGGAAACUCAAGUCUCAAAGCAAAGAAUUAGCAUGAGCUUUUAAAAAACUUUCUAAGGAGCAAAUAAAGAAGCCAUAAGCAUCUCCUUCA
Molecule: long non-coding RNA, 206 nt
Organism: Bos indicus x Bos taurus (hybrid cattle)
Lineage: Eukaryota; Metazoa; Chordata; Mammalia; Artiodactyla; Bovidae
Source: Ensembl